Molecule: ribosomal RNA, 699 nt
Filed under: uncultured Spiroplasma sp.
Lineage: Bacteria; Bacillati; Mycoplasmatota; Mollicutes; Entomoplasmatales; Spiroplasmataceae
Description: bacterial SSU rRNA
Rfam family: Bacterial small subunit ribosomal RNA
Source: RNAcentral
GAGUUUGAUCAUGGCUCAGGAUUAACGCUGGCGGCAUGCCUAAUACAUGCAAGUCGAACGGAGUAGCAAUACUUAGUGGCGAACGGGUGAGUAACACGUAUCUAAUCUACCAUUUAGUGGGGAAUAACUGUUGGAAACGACAGCUAAUACCGCAUAAUAUUGCUGGAUAAUUUCCAGUAAUGAAAGGAGCUUUCAAGCUCCGCUGAUUGAUGAGGAUGCGGCGCAUUAGCUAGUUGGUAGGGUAAUGGCCUACCAAGGCAAUGAUGCGUAGCCGAUCUGAGAGGAUGAACGGCCACAUUGGGACUGAGACACGGCCCAAACUUCUACGGAAGGCAGCAGUAGGGAAUUUUUCACAAUGGGCGAAAGCCUGAUGGAGCAAUGCCGCGUGACUGAUGAAGGUCUUCGGAUUGUAAAGGUCUGUUGUAAGGGAAGAAAUGGUAAAACAGGAAAUGGUUUUAUCUAUGACGGUACCUUACCAGAAAGCCACGGCUAACUAUGUGCCAGCAGCCGCGGUAAUACAUAGGUGGCAAGCGUUAUCCGGAUUUAUUGGGCGUAAAGGGUGCGUAGACGGUUUUGCAAGUCUGAGGUUAAAUUUAGGAGCUCAACUCCUAAUCGCCUUGGAAACUACAAGACUAGAGUAUAGGAGAGGUUAGUGGAAUUUCCAUGUGUAGCGGUGGAAUGUGUAGAUAUAUGGAGGAC